GCUGGCGGCAGGCCUAACACAUGCAAGUCGAGCGCCCUGUUUCGGCAGGGAGCGGCGGACGGGUGAGUAACGCGUGGGAACGUGCCCUUUAGUUCAGAAUAGCCACUGGAAACGGUGAGUAAUACUGGAUACGCCCUUCGGGGGAAAGAUUUAUCGCUAAAGGAUCGGCCCGCGUUGGAUUAGCUUGUUGGUGGGGUAAUGGCCUACCAAGGCGACGAUCUAUAGCUGGUCUGAGAGGAUGAUCAGCCACACUGGGACUGAGACACGGCCCAGACUCCUACGGGAGGCAGCAGUGGGGAAUAUUGGACAAUGGGGGCAACCCUGAUCCAGCCAUGCCGCGUGAGUGAAGAAGGCCCUAGGGUUGUAAAGCUCUUUCAGAUGUGAGGAUGAUGACAGUAGCAUCAGAAGAAGCACCGGCUAACUUCGUGCCAGCAGCCGCGGUAAUACGAAGGGUGCUAGCGUUGUUCGGAAUUACUGGGCGUAAAGGGCGUGUAGGCGGAUGAUCAAGCUAGAGGUGAAAGCCCAGGGCCCAACCCUGGAACUGCCUUUAGAACUGAUUGUCUAGAAUCCGUAAGGGGAGUGUGGAAUUCCUA
RNAcentral lists this ribosomal RNA (593 nucleotides) under uncultured Alphaproteobacteria bacterium. Its description in RNAcentral is "bacterial SSU rRNA". It matches the Rfam family "Bacterial small subunit ribosomal RNA", at positions 35 to 672 of the family's 1533-position model. Lineage: Bacteria; Pseudomonadati; Pseudomonadota; Alphaproteobacteria. The record is from RNAcentral.